AGAGUUUGAUCAUGGCUCAGGACGAACGCUGGCGGCGUGCCUAAUACAUGCAAGUCGAGCGAGCGGAACUAACAGAUUUACUUCGGUAAUGACGUUAGGAAAGCGAGCGGCGGAUGGGUGAGUAACACGUGGGGAACCUGCCCCAUAGUCUGGGAUACCACUUGGAAACAGGUGCUAAUACCGGAUAAGAAAGCAGAUCGCAUGAUCAGCUUUUAAAAGGCGGCGUAAGCUGUCGCUAUGGGAUGGCCCCGCGGUGCAUUAGCUAGUUGGUAAGGUAAAGGCUUACCAAGGCGAUGAUGCAUAGCCGAGUUGAGAGACUGAUCGGCCACAUUGGGACUGAGACACGGCCCAAACUCCUACGGGAGGCAGCAGUGGGGAAUAUUGCACAAUGGGGGAAACCCUGAUGCAGCGACGCCGCGUGGAGGAAGAAGGUCUUCGGAUUGUAAACUUCUGUCGUACGGGACGAUAAUGACGGUACCGUACAAGAAAGCCACGGCUAACUACGUGCCAGCAGCCGCGGUAAAACGUAGGUGGCAAGCGUUGUCCGG
RNAcentral lists this ribosomal RNA (548 nucleotides) under uncultured bacterium. Its description in RNAcentral is "bacterial SSU rRNA". It matches the Rfam family "Bacterial small subunit ribosomal RNA", at positions 8 to 548 of the family's 1533-position model. The record is from RNAcentral.